GACGAACGCUGGCGGCGUGCUUAACACAUGCAAGUCGAACGGGUCUGCCCUGUUUUUUGCGGGGUGGGUCAGUGGCGAACGGGUGAGUAACACGUGAGUAACCUGCCCCUCACUUCUGGAUAACCGCUUGAAAGGGUGGCUAAUACGGGGUGUUCUGGCUGUGCCGCAUGGUGUGGCUGGGAAAGAUUCACUUUUGUGGUGUUUUGGUGGGGGAUGGGCUCGCGGCCUAUCAGCUUGUUGGUGGGGUGAUGGCCUGCCAAGGCUUUGACGGGUAGCCGGCCUGAGAGGGUGGGCGGUCACACUGGGACUGAGAUACGGCCCAGACUCCUGCGGGAGGCAGCAGUGGGGGGUAUUGCACAAUGGGCGGAAGCCUGAUGCAGCGACGUCGCGUGAGGGAUGGAGGCCUUCGGGUUGUGAACCUCUUUCGCCGGUGAAGAAGGUCCUGCUCUUUGGGGUGGGGUUGACGGUAGCCGGGUUAUGAAGCGCCGGCUAACUACGUG
Molecule: ribosomal RNA, 500 nt
Filed under: uncultured bacterium
Lineage: Bacteria
Description: partial 16S ribosomal RNA
Rfam family: Bacterial small subunit ribosomal RNA
Source: RNAcentral